UACCAGACUCCUACGGGAGGCAGCAGUGGGGAAUAUUGCACAAUGGGGGGAACCCUGAUGCAGCGACGCCGCGUGAGGGAAGAAGGUUUUCGGAUUGUAAACCUCUGUCCUCUGUGACGAUAAUGACGGUAGCAGAGGAGGAAGCCACGGCUAACUACGUGCCAGCAGCCGCGGUAAUACGUAGGUGGCGAGCGUUAUCCGGAAUUACUGGGUGUAAGGGGCGUGUAGGCGGGAAAGCAAGUCAGAUGUGAAAACCAUGGGCUCAACCUGUGGCCUGCAUUUGAAACUGUUUUUCUUGAGUACUGGAGAGGCAGACGGAAUUCCUAGUGUAGCGGUGAAAUGCGUAGAUAUUAGGAGGAACACCAGUGGCGAAGGCGGUCUGCUGGACAGCAACUGACGCUGAGGCGCGAAAGCGUGGGGAGCAAACAGGAUUAGAUACCCUGGUAGU
This 448-nucleotide ribosomal RNA is filed under the name uncultured bacterium. RNAcentral's name for it is "bacterial SSU rRNA". It matches the Rfam family "Bacterial small subunit ribosomal RNA", at positions 329 to 794 of the family's 1533-position model. The record is from RNAcentral.